This 496-nucleotide ribosomal RNA is filed under the name uncultured bacterium. Its description in RNAcentral is "partial 16S ribosomal RNA". It matches the Rfam family "Bacterial small subunit ribosomal RNA", at positions 28 to 507 of the family's 1533-position model. The record is from RNAcentral.
GAUGGACGCUGGCGGCGUGCCUAAUACAUGCAAGUCGAGCGAACGGACGAGAAGCUUGCUUCUCUGAUGUUAGCGGCGGACGGGUGAGUAACACGUGGAUAACCUACCUAUAAGACUGGGAUACUUCGGGAAACCGGAGCUAAUACCGGAUAAUAUUUUGAACCGCAUGGUUCAAAAGUGAAAGACGGUCUUGCUGUCACUUAUAGAUGGAUCCGCGCUGCAUUAGCUAGUUGGUAAGGUAACGGCUUACCAAGGCAACGAUGCAUAGCCGACCUGAGAGGGUGAUCGGCCACACUGGAACUGAGACACGGUCCAGACUCCUACGGGAGGCAGCAGUAGGGAAUCUUCCGCAAUGGGCGAAAGCCUGACGGAGCAACGCCGCGUGAGUGAUGAAGGUCUUCGGAUCGUAAAACUCUGUUAUUAGGGAAGAACAUAUGUGUAAGUAACUGUGCACAUCUUGACGGUACCUAAUCAGAAAGCCACGGCUAACUACGUG